This 1503-nucleotide long non-coding RNA is filed under the name Ananas comosus (pineapple). RNAcentral describes it as "long non-coding RNA (ACOM_LNC003636)". Lineage: Eukaryota; Viridiplantae; Streptophyta; Magnoliopsida; Poales; Bromeliaceae. The record is from RNAcentral.
UAAUUUUAUUUAUAAAUAUAUAUAUAUUUAUUAUAUAUAGUAUUUUAUUUUUAUAUAGAUAUAUUAUUAUAUAAUAAUUUAUUAUAUAAUUUACUAUUUAUUUUUAUAAAAUAUAAAAUAUAUAAAUAAAUGUUAAAUAAUUUAGACUAUUUCUUCUCAUUCACUAACUACUGAGGGACUACGAUACCUACUAAAAUUAUUUCACUAACUAAUGGGGGGCUACUAUGCUUACUAAAAUUUUUUGAUAUACUUAUUGUAUUAUUUAAAUUCUGAAAUUGAUUUUUAUAACUAAUUAUCAAAAUUAAAUUUUAAAAUAACUACUCGCAGCAUCGCGCAGGUCCUUAACUAAUAUGAUAUAUAUUGCACUAGUUUUAUAGUCUAUUGCACUAAUCAACUAGUGCAAUAUAUAGUCAUAUAGUAUAAUAUUUUAUUAUCUUUAAUGAAGAAAGAAUGAAAAAUAAAUAAAAGAGAAAAAAGGAGGAUAUUGAUGUCCCCUUCCCCUCCCAUCUUCUCCUUUCUUUCCCAUAUGCUCCUUCCUCUCCAUCCGUCCUCAGCCAUCUCCAGCAUCUUGCCGCGCCCCGCCACCUUAAAUUGCACCACUAUCCAUGCACUUACCUCCGCAAUCCGUGCCGAAUUAGAGUCGUGCCAUUGCCGUUGAUGGCAGUGAAGAAGUGGGCGAGGUAGGGGGAGGAGUGCCGCAGUGACAUGCGAGCGGCGGAGGAGGAGGGAGAAGAAGCGAGAAGAGAAAGAAAAAGAAAAAAAAGAGAGAAAAAGAGAGAGGAUAUGAUAUAUUGGUUAGUAUUUUAAAAAUUCAAUUUGAAUCUACAAAAUCGAAAAAAUGGCCUAAUUUUAUAAAAAUACAUAAGUAAUAUAUUUUGUUAUGAAAAGGUUAUUUUAUUAUUAGGAGUCCGGAUGGGAUACUAUCGAUAGCAUCAAACGUUUGGUGCUAUCGAGUUUUCCAUCGUUAGAUUUAACCUUUUGACUAUUUUCACUCGUUAGAUUAUACUAUUCAACCAAUAACUCACUCAAUCCUAGGGGCCCAAAUCAUUCUAACCGUAUAUUUUUCAUCAAAGGGCCAAAAAUCUAAUAGCACAAAACACUUGGUGCUAUUUAUAAUAUUCCAGCCUAGUUUUUAUUAUUAGCUUAAUCUAUAUAAUAUCAUUAUAGAUUGUAGGUAAAUAGAAGAUUAUGUGGGGCUUUUUUUUUUGCAUUUAGUCUCUCUCAAUUUUUUUUUUUUACAAGUGACCCUAAUAAAUUUAUAUUUAUACAUAUGGUCCUCUACUUGCCAUGUGAGGAUCGCGUUUGUAUUUUUAAGUGGAACACGGUGAAUUAACCACCAAGUUUAAAUACGGAGAUUGAAUCACCGUGUUCGUAUCCACACUUUAGUUUAUUCUUUUUUAUUUAGAGACAAAAAAAUCUAAAAGGGAAUAUGGUGGCUCAAUCACCGUGUUUAAACACAGUAAAUGAAUUACCGUAUUCAACUUAAAAAUACUCAUUUAGGGA